Molecule: ribosomal RNA, 216 nt
Filed under: Glomeromycotina sp.
Lineage: Eukaryota; Fungi; Glomeromycota
Description: partial small subunit ribosomal RNA
Rfam family: Eukaryotic small subunit ribosomal RNA (bases 40-216)
Source: RNAcentral
GGGUCAGUAGGUUGGUCGUGCCACCGGUACGUACUGGUCUCACUGAUUCCUCCUUCCUGAAGAACCGUAAUGCCAUUAAUUUGGUGUUGCGGGGAAACAGGACUGUUACUUUGAAAAAAUUAGAGUGUUUAAAGCACGCUAACGCUUGAAUACAUUAGCAUGGAAUAGUGAAAUAGGACGAUCGAUCCUAUUUUGUUGGUUUCUAGGAUUGACGUA